Molecule: long non-coding RNA, 630 nt
Filed under: Physcomitrium patens
Lineage: Eukaryota; Viridiplantae; Streptophyta; Bryopsida; Funariales; Funariaceae
Description: long non-coding RNA (PPAT_LNC001182)
Source: RNAcentral
AGGAUUCUAGAAUACUUAGCAAUUAUUAUUUAAAGUUAGGGUUUAUAUUAGUAAUUUUUAUUUUAUAUAAUAUAAUUAGGGCUAGCAAUUUUGACUAGUUUGUGUAAUUAGUGUGACAUCUACAGUUGAAAACUUGAUACUAUUUGGAUUAUUAGGUGUACUAAGUGUAUGCAAAAAAAUUGUGAUAAUCUAAUAGUGUAGUAUAGAGAUAUCUAGUUUUUAGCACAAGAGGGUUUCAAAAGGUAGUAGUUUGAGGUUGGAUAGGAUUUCUAUGAUAUCUGAAGCUCUAUUAGUCGGAUUAAGGUGAAAAUUGGCAUAGUGUUGAAAGACUUAAAGAUCAAGCUACACACAAAUUUUAAAACAAAGUUAACAGUUGAAAAGGAAGAAAAUAUUGCUGGGAUUUCUCCUUCACUUUUUAAGUUGGCAACCAAGUGACAUCAAUGCAAUUUUUGAAAUUUUUCUCACAAUUUUAAAGUUGGAUUGGACUAAAAAUUCUUCAACAUAUAGAAGACUUAUAUUAAAAAUUGCAUGAAAAUUUCCACAUGAAGUGCAAAGUUGGAUUGGAUGUUAUAGCUUGUUAAAGCUCACUAAUUAGGUUUGGAGGUUACAAGAAAAAUCUAAAUUACUUAA